AGAGAAACCAAUCGUGUUUCAACAACAACAUAUUCUAUGAAAUUACACAAGUGAGAUCUCAGGAGGAUACCGUAUACACACACCAUUACUCCUACCUUAUAGGAAGAUAAAAGAACUAUUUUUGAUGGACUUUCGACUAAUCACACGCUUGUUAAUUCCAAACUUAGAUAGUGAAGACAACUAGAAGAAAAAAUAAAAAAGAAGACAUUAAAAUUGGCUUUUCAAAUUUGUAAUUAUUUGCUCCAUUUUUUUUGGGUCCCUUUCUAAGAAGGUCUGGUCCACCAUAAGCUCCUCUUCUUUGAUGAACAAUUUUAUGAACAUCUUUAUGUUCAUCCUUGUUGCUCUCUAUACUUGAUAAUUCAUUAGCAAUCUUUUCCUUGUUUUCAUUUUGCAAGAUGAGUUCAUUAUUUGUGGAUUUUGGGAUGAAGGUGCAAGAUGAGUAUGGCAAAGUUUUCAAGAAUAUAAUAAGGCAAAGCCAUGAAACUAAUACAAGAAUUUUCAUGGUGUUUAUUUUUUAAUGAAA
RNAcentral lists this unclassified non-coding RNA (523 nucleotides) under Hevea brasiliensis (rubber tree). The record is from RNAcentral. Lineage: Eukaryota; Viridiplantae; Streptophyta; Magnoliopsida; Malpighiales; Euphorbiaceae.